RNAcentral lists this ribosomal RNA (482 nucleotides) under Burkholderia sp. YC75A. Its description in RNAcentral is "bacterial SSU rRNA". It matches the Rfam family "Bacterial small subunit ribosomal RNA", at positions 35 to 513 of the family's 1533-position model. The record is from RNAcentral. Lineage: Bacteria; Pseudomonadati; Pseudomonadota; Betaproteobacteria; Burkholderiales; Burkholderiaceae.
GGCAGGCGGCUGCUUACCAUGCAGUCGAACGGCAGCACGGGUGCUUGCACCUGGUGGCGAGUGGCGAACGGGUGAGUAAUACAUCGGAACAUGUCCUGUAGUGGGGGAUAGCCCGGCGAAAGCCGGAUUAAUACCGCAUACGAUCUCUGGAUGAAAGCGGGGGACCUUCGGGCCUCGCGCUAUAGGGUUGGCCGAUGGCUGAUUAGCUAGUUGGUGGGGUAAAGGCCUACCAAGGCGACGAUCAGUAGCUGGUCUGAGAGGACGACCAGCCACACUGGGACUGAGACACGGCCCAGACUCCUACGGGAGGCAGCAGUGGGGAAUUUUGGACAAUGGGCGAAAGCCUGAUCCAGCAAUGCCGCGUGUGUGAAGAAGGCCUUCGGGUUGUAAAGCACUUUUGUCCGGAAAGAAAUCCUUGGCUCUAAUACAGUCGGGGGAUGACGGUACCGGAAGAAUAAGCACCGGCUAACUACGUGCCAGAC